UGUAGCAAUACAAGGCAGACGGCUCAGUAACGCGUAGUCAACCUAACCUAUGGAUGGGAAUAACCUCGGGAAACUGAGAAUAAUGCCCAAUAGAACACUAUACCUGGAAUGGUUUGUGUUCCAAAUGAUUUAUCGCCGUAGGAUGGGACUGCGGCCUAUCAGUUUGUUGGUGAGGUAAUGGCCCACCAAGACUAUUACAGGUACGGGCUCUGAGAGGAGUAGCCCGGAGAUGGGUACUGAGACACGGACCCAGGCCCUAUGGGGCGCAGCAGGCGAGAAAACUUUGCAAUGUGCGAAAGCACGACAAGGUUAAUCCGAGUGAUUUGUGCUAAACGAAUCUUUUGUUAGUCCUAGAAACACUAACGAAUAAGGGGUGGGCAAGUUCUGGUGUCAGCCGCCGCGGUAAAACCAGCACCUCAAGUGGUCAGGAUGAUUAUUGGGCCUAAAGCAUCCGUAGCCGGCUCUGUAAGUUUUCGGUUAAAUCUGUAUGCUCAACAUACAGGCUGCCGGGAAUACUGCAGAGCUAGGGAGUGGGAGAGGUAGACGGUACUCGGUAGGAAGGGGUAAAAUCCUUUGAUCUAUUGAUGACCACCUGUGGCGAAGGCGGUCUACCAGAACACGUCCGACGGUGAGGGAUGAAAGCUGGGGGAGCAAACCGGAUUAGAUACCCGGGUAGUCCCAGCUGUAAACUAUGCAAACUCAGUGAUGCAUUGGCUUGUGGCCAAUGCAGUGCUGCAGGGAAGCCGUUAAGUUUGCCGCCUGGGAAGUACGUACGCAAGUAUGAAACUUAAAGGAAUUGGCGGGGGAGCACCACAAGGGGUGAAGCCUGCGGUUCAAUUGGA
RNAcentral lists this ribosomal RNA (842 nucleotides) under uncultured archaeon. RNAcentral's name for it is "bacterial SSU rRNA". It matches the Rfam family "Archaeal small subunit ribosomal RNA", at positions 63 to 910 of the family's 1478-position model. The record is from RNAcentral.